UGAGCCACUAAGUGCCAGAGGGCACGUCCACCAUGAGAGGAGGCCCUCCCGCUACGACCACCGCCGCUUUCUCCUCUGCGUCCAGAGAUUCUGACAACCGGAAGUCACUCGGUGCUCCCGGAAGAGGAAAUCCCGGAACAUUGACCCAGCUCCUUCCGCUAUCCGUUGCGGCGUCGGUUGCUGGGGUGACGAUUACUGGCGCAAAGUCGUACUUUCUGAACCUGAGCUUGCUUUCCAUCUGUUCUUGACUCUCUUCUCGUGGCACCCCCUGCUCAAGAUUCUGAGUGUUUUCAUAAUAGAACAUCGAGUCCUCCUUGGUUCUUACCUAUCUACCGUUACUGGUCUUAAUUUAAAAUGGAAGGAGGCAGCCCUGAUGCAAACUCUGCUUUUGGAAGAGAUGGUGCAUCCAUUUAAGCCAGAGGACUACAUGUGGAUUUGCAACUUCAGGAAGAUAUCUAGUCUUCGGCCCUCCUGGAAUGGGCCUUUCCAGGUUCUGCCGAUUAGUUAUACUGCCGUCAAGGUUACUGAGUAGAUCGACCUGAAUACAUCACAUCCAUGUGAAGCCUGCCAUGAUUCACCUCAGCUCAGCAGAGGAAGCAACCCCUGAUCAGCCCCUGAACCCAGUUAAGCUGAAAAAGGACCCUAACACCAACCCAUGGUUUUUGGCUGCUUGUUUGUUUGACCUGAUUGUUCAGUCAUUUUUCAGUCAUGUUUAACUCUUUGUGACCACAUUAGGGGUUUUCUUGACAAAGAUACUAGAAUGGUUUGCCACUUCUUUUUCUUGCUCAUUUUGCAGAUGAGGAAACUGAGGUAAACAGGAUUAAGUGACUUGUCCAUUGUCACACAGCUAGUAAGUGUCUGAGGCCAGAUUUGUACUCAGGAAGAUUAGUCUUCCUUACUCAAGGCUCAGCACUCUAUUCACUGUGCCACCUAGCUGCCCAUUGGAGUGGUUGGCCAUUUCCUUCUCUAGUGGAUUAAGGCAAACAGAAGUUAAGUGACUUGCCCAGAAUCACAAAUCUAUUAAAUGUCUGAGGCCAGAUUUGAACUCAGGUCUUCCUGACUACAAGCCCAGCACCCUAUUUACUGAGAUAACUAGCUAUCUUAAAAAAGUACCUGUUGUUGUUUAAUCAUUCAGUUGUGUUUGACUCUUCAUAACCCCAUGGACCAUAGCCAAGGGAUGGCUAUGGGAAAAUCCAUGGGAUUUUCUUGGCAAAGAUACUGGAAUGGUUUGUCAUUGGAUUAAGACAAACAAAGAUUAAGUGACUUGACCUGAUAAUUAGGACCUUGCUAUCUACUAUGCAUUUUCUGUUAGUGCUUUAUGCCCUGCUUUGCACCCUUGGGGCUGGGAGAACAGAAGAGCCCAACACUUAUGUGUAUCUGAUCCAACGUGCCAGCCAUGCUUUUAAUUGGACCAACUGCUGGAAAUGAGCACAUACCCCUUUGUCCUUGGGGAAGGGAUGCCCCUGGUGGGUAUAGAGGCAGAUAUUCAGAACUAAUGUGAUUAUUAUUUUGCAAUCAAUAAGGCAAACAUA
Molecule: long non-coding RNA, 1532 nt
Filed under: Vombatus ursinus (common wombat)
Lineage: Eukaryota; Metazoa; Chordata; Mammalia; Diprotodontia; Vombatidae
Description: lncRNA (ENSVURG00010006504.1)
Source: RNAcentral